CCUUAGGAAAAUGUGGUCUUUCAACUGGACAUCAUUCUUCUGACAAAGACUAACUCUAGGGCUAUGAAGUCUAGGGAAGCAAAGCAGUUCCUUCAUUUUGUGAAUGGAUGUGGUUCCCAUGUGGCGAACCACACAUUCUGAGUAUCUGUGUAGCAAUCUACCUUCCUAUUGAUCUGGCUGGAUAGUUUAGUAGUUUUGGUUCAACAGAGCUGCGGUAGAAGUGAAACUCCCCGAGAGUCCUUGUUUCUAUACAGUAUGUAUAGAAUGAGGCUUGGCCAAUCCCCAUCCAGAUCCUCAACCCUCCUAUUGUUCCCCAAGCUGUGACUUCAUCACUCUGAUCACCUGAGAGGUGAGAGAGCUGGGGCAGGGAAUUCUGUGUACACUCUCAGAUCUCAAAUGGCGGAGGUUGAACCAGGGGCCAGUUUAUUCCCAAAUGGUGUUCCUUGGCUCUAUGCCCUGUUUGCUAUGCUUUUUGUAUUUUUUCUCUUUGUCAUGUUCUCUCCCUUUUUACUUGAGAUAGACCAACAUAUAAAGAAAUUCUUGCUCAGAUGCAGGUAUUCUCUGCAUAAUGCUCUGCGUAAGAAUAAAGAAAAUGAGAUAAAGAUGGACCAUCUGGGAAGCCCAGGCUGUCCUCUGGAGUCACCAAGGAGAGAAGUUCUGGGAAGGAAGGAAGAUGGGAUGGGAAGAGAUCCCUCGCUACUUGUGAGGGUAGCAAGAGAGCCCAGGGGUUCUGAGGUUGAGAUCUGUACCCCUGGACCAUCCGUUUGAGAGUGGCUGAGGCUCUAAGGAAUCACCUGUGACAUCAUAUCCCAGACAUGAGAGGGCUUCUUAGACCUCAUUAUGUAUGUUUAUAUGAAAAAAAAGAUAAUAAAUAUUUUGAGA
Molecule: long non-coding RNA, 882 nt
Organism: Lutra lutra (Eurasian river otter)
Lineage: Eukaryota; Metazoa; Chordata; Mammalia; Carnivora; Mustelidae
Exons: 3
Source: RefSeq, a predicted model, not a curated record